Molecule: ribosomal RNA, 481 nt
Filed under: uncultured bacterium
Lineage: Bacteria
Description: partial 16S ribosomal RNA
Rfam family: Bacterial small subunit ribosomal RNA
Source: RNAcentral
GACGAACGCUGGCGGCGUGCUUAAUACAUGCAAGUCAACUGAAGCAGUGGUAGCAAUAUCGCUGUGGAGGUGGCGCACGGGGGAGUAACACGUAGGUAAUCUGCCUUCAGGUCUGGCAUAACUCCGGGAAACCGGGGCUAAUAGCAGAUGAUGCAGCGGCUCGACAUCGAGACAGUUGUUAAAGCUAUGGCGCCUGAAGAUGAGCCUGCGUCUGGUUAGCUAGUUGGCGGGGUAACGGCCCACCAAGGCAACGAUCAGUAGCUGGUCUGAGAGGAUGAUCAGCCACACUGGAACUGAGACACGGUCCAGACUCCUACGGGAGGCAGCAGUAAGGAAUAUUGCCCAAUGGGAGAAAUCCUGAAGCAGCAACGCCGCGUGAGGGACGAGGGGCUUUUGCUUGUAAACCUCUGUAGUGAGAGAAAAAAAUCCCAAUCUUUGGGACAUGAUGGUAUCUCAAAAGUAAGCCCCGGCUAACUACGUG